Molecule: ribosomal RNA, 468 nt
Filed under: uncultured bacterium
Lineage: Bacteria
Description: partial 16S ribosomal RNA
Rfam family: Bacterial small subunit ribosomal RNA
Source: RNAcentral
GACGAACGCUGGCGGCGUGCUUAACACAUGCAAGUCGAACGGAAAGGCCCUGCUUUUGUGGGGUGCUUGAGUGGCGAACGGGUGAGUAACACGUGAGUAACCUGCCCUUGACUUUGGGAUAACUUCAGGAAACUGGGGCUAAUACCGGAUAGGAGCUCCUGCUGCAUGGUGGGGGUUGGAAAGUUUCGGCGGUUGGGGAUGGACUCGCGGCUUAUCAGCUUGUUGGUGGGGUAGUGGCUUACCAAGGCUUUGACGGGUAGCCGGCCUGAGAGGGUGACCGGCCACAUUGGGACUGAGAUACGGCCCAGACUCCUACGGGAGGCAGCGGUGGGGAAUAUUGCACAAUGGGCGGAAGCCUGAUGCAGCAACGCCGCGUGCGGGAUGACGGCCUUCGGGUUGUAAACCGCUUUCGCCUGUGACGAAGCGUGAGUGACGGUAAUGGGUAAAGAAGCACCGGCUAACUACGUG